AUAGCAGUGAGGAAUAUUGGUCAAUAGCCUAACGGCUGAACCAGCAACUUGGAAGAAUGAAAAGACAUAAUGUCGUUUGGGAUCUUUAAUUGAGAUUCUGUAGUAGUAACUCUGUUACAUAAAGUUCUAGGUAAAUAUUUGAUUAUGACAUGAUUUAUCUAUAAGUAUCGACCAAAUCCUGUGCCAGCAGUCGCGGUAAGACAGGGGAUACAAGUGUUAUUCAUAUUUAACAGGUUUAAAGGGUACUCAGACGGUUAAUUAAGCCAAUAAAGGAACUAAUUAUACUAGAGUUUGAUAGGAAAAGAUUAGAACGGUGAGUGUAGAGAUAAAAUAUAUUGAUACCACCUAGAGACUGGCAACAGCGAAGGCAAUCUUUUAUGUAAAAACUGACGUUAAAGGACGAAGGCCUAAGAUAAGAAAAGGGAUUAGGUACCCCAGUACUGUGGGCAGAAAAUGAUGAGUGUCAUAGGUAAGCAGGCUAGAUAUUAAAACAAUAGACUAGUGUAUACCUAUAAAUGAAAGUGUAAGCACUCCACCUUAAGAGUAAUAUGGCAACAUAGGAACUGAAAUCAUUAGACCGUUUCUGAAACCAGUAGUGAAGUAUGUUAUUUAAUUUGAUAAUCCGCAAAGAACCUUACCACAAUUUGAAUGUAAAUUCACAGGAGUUGCACGGCUGUCUACAGUUGAUAUCGUGAGAUUUUGGUUAGUUCCAUUUAAUCAACGUAAACCCUUACUUUAAUUUUAACAUAAAGUAGUUCACCGAUAUAUUGGUUAAGAUAAUAGGGACCAAGACAAGUCAUCAUGACCUAAAUAUUGUGGGC
This 821-nucleotide ribosomal RNA is filed under the name Porina guianensis. Its description in RNAcentral is "SSU rRNA". It matches the Rfam family "Bacterial small subunit ribosomal RNA", at positions 348 to 1214 of the family's 1533-position model. Lineage: Eukaryota; Fungi; Ascomycota; Lecanoromycetes; Ostropales; Porinaceae. The record is from RNAcentral.